UACGUAGGGGGCAAGCGUUGUCCGGAUUUAUUGGGCGUAAAGAGCGUGUAGGCGGCUAGGUAGGUCCGUUGUGAAAACUCGAGGCUCAACCUCGAGACGCCGGUGGAAACCAUCUAGCUAGAGUCCGGAAGAGGAGAGUGGAAUUCCUGGUGUAGCGGUGAAAUGCGCAGAUAUCAGGAAGAACACCCGUGGCGAAGGCGGCUCUCUGGGCCGAUACUGACGCUGAGGAGCGAAAGCGUGGGGAGCGAACAGG
Molecule: ribosomal RNA, 253 nt
Filed under: uncultured bacterium
Lineage: Bacteria
Description: partial 16S ribosomal RNA
Rfam family: Bacterial small subunit ribosomal RNA
Source: RNAcentral